CAGUCGCCGCGGUAAUACAGAGGGUGCGAGCGUUAAUCGGAUUUACUGGGCGUAAAGCGUGCGCAGGCGGUUUGUUAAGACAGAUGUGAAAUCCCCGGGCUCAACCUGGGAACUGCAUUUGUGACUGGCAAGCUAGAGUGUGGCAGAGGGGGGUGGAAUUCCGCGUGUAGCAGUGAAAUGCGUAGAUAUGCGGAGGAACACCGAUGGCGAAGGCAGCCCCCUGGGCCAACACUGACGCUCAUGCACGAAAGCGUGGGGAGCAAACAGGAUUAGAUACCCCUGUAGUCCCUGUCUCUUAUAA
RNAcentral lists this ribosomal RNA (301 nucleotides) under uncultured bacterium. RNAcentral describes it as "partial 16S ribosomal RNA". It matches the Rfam family "Bacterial small subunit ribosomal RNA", at positions 509 to 809 of the family's 1533-position model. The record is from RNAcentral.